GCGUUCGUAGCUCAGUUGGAUAGAGCGUUGGCCUCCGGAGCCAAAGGUCGCAAGUUCGAAUCUUGUCGAGCGCGCCAGUG
RNAcentral lists this transfer RNA (80 nucleotides) under Actinobacillus pleuropneumoniae serovar 3 str. JL03. Its description in RNAcentral is "tRNA-Arg". It matches the Rfam family "tRNA". Rfam says of the family: Transfer RNA (tRNA) molecules are approximately 80 nucleotides in length. Lineage: Bacteria; Pseudomonadati; Pseudomonadota; Gammaproteobacteria; Pasteurellales; Pasteurellaceae. The record is from RNAcentral.